RNAcentral lists this long non-coding RNA (1948 nucleotides) under Homo sapiens (human). RNAcentral describes it as "non-protein coding lnc-CNIH3-2:1". The record is from RNAcentral. Lineage: Eukaryota; Metazoa; Chordata; Mammalia; Primates; Hominidae.
CGCCGAGGCUCGGGGUUUCUUCCGCGGGGGCGGGGAGGCUCCGCCGGUGUCCGAGUCGGAGGAGGAGGAAGCGGAGGCCAGAGUUUCCUCGCCGAGAGAGGCCGUGGUGGGAAGCCGGUGGGGCGAGGCGGGGGAGGGGAGGCGGGGGCCGGGGAGAGGGUCGGGGUGAGGGGGGCCGGGGAGGCGGGGAGGGGGUCAGGGUAGGAGGGUGAGGGUGAGGGUGAGAGGAGGGGGAGGAGGAGGAGGGGGAGAAGGAGGAUCCGGGCCCUUUCCCCCCCCCCUCCCGGAGGCAGCUCGGGGUGCGCGGCCCGGGGGUCGCGCCGGGGGGCGCCGCGGGGCGGCUGCGGGGGCGCGGGGCCCGCCGCUGGGCUGAGCCCCGGCAGUGGCUGCGGCGGCGGCGGCGGCGGGCGGCAGCGGAGGCAGCUGCCGCCUCUGUCCUCGGAUCCGCUCCGCUCUGCUCCCUGGUGUGUUGAUUCUUCCCCCAGCUGCUGCCUAAUGGAGUCCAGGCGCUCGCGUCACAGGAAAUGCCUAUACUGCCCUCCUCACUCACUUCCGGUGGCAGGUAUGGAACCUAUAGGGGGCCUGUCACCCAGCACGUGCAUCGGGGGCUGUCCCGGGGGUCAGGGGAGGGAGGCCAGCGGGCCGGCGGGGUCCGCCCCGACCCCAUCCACGACCCCGACUCCUAUCCGAUCCUAUCCCCGGCCCCGCUCGGGCCUUUCCCCUUGCGCCCUGGCUCGGCUGGCUCGACGAGCAGUAAGUUCGUAGCCGCCCUCCGAAGCCGGGCGUGCAUGGGAUGGCAGAGUUGGCGUGCGUGCGUGAGUCCACCAGUGUGGCAUGGGCAUGUAAGGUGCGCGGAGGGACUGCACCUUCUCCAUCAGGUGCAGAAGGUGAGGAUGGGGCAGGGGGCUAGGAGCUUCGACAGGCAGGAACUUCCAGGCACAGGGCUGUGGUAGGCCCCUCUCAAUGGUAACCAGGACCGAAAUCGGGUUUCACAACCUACUUGUUUUAGGGUGGAAAAACUUGAAUUUCCACAGCCAAGUGCCACACAGUUGCUGUACCCGGGGCCAUCCCGGGAGCUGUGAGAUAAUGAGCCGGUGAGACUCUGCUCCACCCUGGGAAGGGGAGUUAGUCUAGAGGAGCAUAUCUUAUGGGGACAAGAAGUCACAAAAAGGCUGUGUGGUGUGUAGAGAAGGGGAGGGACUCUGCUGUUGAGGCUUCACUCUUUUUUAGCACUUGCCCAGCACCUCCUUCUCUCUUCCAGCUGCCUCUUGAGUCACUGCCCAGUUUAGGGAGCAGUAACAUAAACCAAACAGUUGCCUCCAAAAUAUGCAUUCUGAGAAGGAUUCAGGCACCCAUUCAGAUCCAGGCUUGAAAUUUUUACGUGGCAUGUGAGCCUUCUGUGUCAUCAUGACUUACCAAUUUAUGUGAAUGUAGAAAUGCAGCAACAAAGACUGGGCUGAAUCUUAAUCAUUGGCAAAUGGUGUGCAUUAUCCCCAAACAAUUAUUUUCAUGUAUGUGGUUGAUAGCAUCUAUACUCAAUAUGUAUAAAGAUUUUCUCAGAAAUUUAAAGUCUUUCUCUGAAGUAGUUUUCCUGUGGGGAGGGGAAAAAAAACACCUUAGUUUCUAAUUAAUACAUCAUACAUCGCUGAUAUUUAUUAUAGUAAUAACUGAAAGUAAUUUUGAGGCCUUUGGAGACAGUUGUUUUUAAAUUUGGAAAUACAAUAAAAAAUGAUGCUGAUGAGAAAUUAGUAAAGAAUCCUGAGGUUUAUGGAUCCUCAGACAGGAAGAAGUAAGAGGAAGGUCAAUGCAGGAUCUUACAGGGAUUUGGUUUUGUAGUUCUUACUGCUUAAAUUUGCUUCCAGGUGGCAGCUGUAAUUGCAAGGUGACUCACAUACAGUGUUUAUAUUCACCUGAGGCCGACCUGAGUUCUAGUUGAGGUUCAUAGAGC